GCGAGUGGCGGACGGGUGAGUAGAGCAUCGGAACGUAACUACUGGUGGGGGAUAACCUAGCGAAAGAUAGGCUAAUACCGCAUAAGCUCGAGAGAGGAAAGAUUGGGACCUGGAGACAGGCCAAUAGCCAGGAGAGCGGCCGAUGUCUGAUUAGCUAGUUGGUAGGGUAAAGGCUUACCAAGGCGACGAUCAGUAGCUGGUCUGAGAGGAUGAUCAGCCACACUGGGACUGAGAUACGGCCCAGACUCCUACGGGAGGCAGCAGUGGGGGAUAUUGGACAAUGGGGGGAACCCUGAUCCAGCGAUGCCGCGUGAGUGAAGAAGGCCUUCGGGUUGUAAAGCUCUUUUAUUGGGGAAGAAAGGACUGAACCUAAGAGGGUCAGGAGAUGACGGUACCCAAAGAAUAAGCACCGGCUAACUACGUGCCAGCAGCCGCGGUAAUACGUAGGGUGCGAGCGUUAAUCGGAUUUACUGGGCGUAAAGGGUGAGUAGGCGGAUGAUUAAGUUAGAUGUGAAAUACCUGGGCUUAACCGAGGGAUUGCAUUUAAAACUGGUGAUCUAGAGUAGGGCAGAGGGGGGUGGAAUUCCGUGUGUAGCAGUGAAAUGCGUAGAGAUAUGGAGGAACACCGAUGGCGAAGGCAGCCCCCUGGGCCAAUACUGACGCUGAGUCACGAAAGCGUGGGGAGCAAACAGGAUUAGAUACCCUGGUAGUCCAUGCUGUAAACGAUGUCGACUAGUUGUUGGGRCGCAAGUCUUAGUAACGAAGCAAACGCGUGAAGUCGACCGCCUGGGGAGUACGGCCGCAAGGUUAAAACUCAAAGGAAUUGACGGGGACCUGCACAAGCAGUGGAUGAUGUGGAUUAAUUCGAUGCAACGCGAAGAACCUUACCUACCUGU
RNAcentral lists this ribosomal RNA (896 nucleotides) under uncultured beta proteobacterium. RNAcentral's name for it is "bacterial SSU rRNA". The record is from RNAcentral. Lineage: Bacteria; Pseudomonadati; Pseudomonadota; Betaproteobacteria.